Molecule: ribosomal RNA, 247 nt
Filed under: uncultured bacterium
Lineage: Bacteria
Description: partial 16S ribosomal RNA
Rfam family: Bacterial small subunit ribosomal RNA
Source: RNAcentral
AUACGUAGGGAGCGAGCGUUGUCCGGAUUUACUGGGUGUAAAGGGUGCGUAGGCGGGACUGCAAGUCAGACGUGAAAUACCGAGGCUUAACCUCGGGGCUGCGUUUGAAACUGUAGUUCUUGAGUGAAGUAGAGGCAGGCGGAAUUCCUAGUGUAGCGGUGAAAUGCGUAGAUAUUAGGAAGAACACCAGUGGCGAAGGCGGCUUCCUGGACUGUAACUGACGCUGAGGCACGAAAGCGUGGGGAGC